GGCCUUAUAGUUAAUUUAAUAUCAAAUUGCAAAUUUGAAGAUGGAAAUCAUUUUUCUAAGGCUU
This 64-nucleotide transfer RNA is filed under the name Cryptocephalus ramburii. RNAcentral's name for it is "tRNA-Cys". Lineage: Eukaryota; Metazoa; Arthropoda; Insecta; Coleoptera; Chrysomelidae. The record is from RNAcentral.